UACGAAGGGGGCUAGCGUUGUUCGGAAUUACUGGGCGUAAAGCGCGUGUAGGCGGGUCUUUAAGUCAGGGGUGAAAUGCCAAGGCUCAACCUUGGAACUGCCUUUGAUACUGGGGACCUUGAGUCCGGGAGAGGUGAGUGGAAUUGCGAGUGUAGAGGUGAAAUUCGUAGAUAUUCGCAAGAACACCAGUGGCGAAGGCGGCUCACUGGCCCGGAACUGACGCUGAGACGCGAAAGCGUGGGGAGCGAACAGG
Molecule: ribosomal RNA, 253 nt
Filed under: uncultured bacterium
Lineage: Bacteria
Description: partial 16S ribosomal RNA
Rfam family: Bacterial small subunit ribosomal RNA
Source: RNAcentral